RNAcentral lists this long non-coding RNA (890 nucleotides) under Vigna radiata. Its description in RNAcentral is "long non-coding RNA (VRAD_LNC006992)". The record is from RNAcentral. Lineage: Eukaryota; Viridiplantae; Streptophyta; Magnoliopsida; Fabales; Fabaceae.
AGAGGAGAGAGAUGGAAUUGUUUGACAUAGGUGGGAUAUAUGGAGCAUGCAGGGUCUAAAAUAGAUUGAGAUGAUCGAAGGGAGAGUGAGAUACAUUGGAAUCGGCGUAGAGAAUUAAUAGUUGCAAUGUGUGGAGUGAGUGGAUAAGUGAUUGCAGCAGUGUUUGAGGAUUAGAAGCGUACCUAUCACAGUUAAAAGGGGCGAGGCGAAGGGAAGAAGUGGGAAAAAAAAGAGGAAAAACAGAAGAAAAAGACGAAAUAAGAGGAGCCCUGGGAAAGCUGUAGUGCUGGAUAAGGGGAGACAUGAGUAGGGGCCCAUCUAUAGGAAUGUGGGAUUAUAUCCCAUCCCAUCCAUGCAUUCUAGUCAUGUCCUUUCAAAUUCAUACCUACCUACGUUUCUUCACUCCAUUCCCCUAAACCUUACAACAACAUACACACCAAUACUAAUGGAUUAAUCUCAUACAUUAUUAUUAUUAUUAUUAUUAUUAUUAUUAUUAUUAUUUUUCAUCAACUUAAAAUAUUUAUUUCUUGUAAGAGAGUGAAAUGUACUUACUAUAGAUGAAUGGGAGAAAAAGUUGAAGAUUAUUAGGCGCCAAGUGAAACUAAGUUGAUGGAAAAUAAAAGGAGAGAGGGUGAGAGUGGGAGACAGGGCCCUUGACGGCGACCACAGGGUAUAGUAUCAAUGUCUAGGUGCCCGCACUGCCCGCGUUGCCCAACAUGUACAUUGAGAGUUAUUUGUUCUCGUCUUUACCCAAAGCUGGCGUCGUUUUCCGCUUUGCCCGCCCAAUCGGAACUUUUGAUUUUUAAGGGAAUAAAGUUUGCACACCAAACCAAACACAGCACUAAUGUAAUAUUGUAAUGACAAGUAACAUAACAUAACAUACCCUUCUU